RNAcentral lists this ribosomal RNA (687 nucleotides) under Ganoderma carocalcareum. RNAcentral's name for it is "eukaryotic LSU rRNA". The stretch from base 276 to 429 matches the Rfam family "5.8S ribosomal RNA". Lineage: Eukaryota; Fungi; Basidiomycota; Agaricomycetes; Polyporales; Polyporaceae. The record is from RNAcentral.
UCUCUUGGUCAUUUAGAGGAAGUAAAAGUCGUAACAAGGUUUCCGUAGGUGAACCUGCGGAAGGAUCAUUAUCGAGUUUUGACCGGGUUGUAGCUGGCCUUCCGAGGCAUGUGCACGCCCUGCUCAUCCACUCUACACCUGUGCACUUACUGUGGGUUUCAAACGUCGUUAAGCGGGCUCUUUACUGAGCUUGUAGAGCGGUGUCUGUGCCUGCGUUUAUCACAAACUCUUAUAAAGUAUUAGAAUGUGUAUUGCGAUGUAACGCAUCUAUAUACAACUUUCAGCAACGGAUCUCUUGGCUCUCGCAUCGAUGAAGAACGCAGCGAAAUGCGAUAAGUAAUGUGAAUUGCAGAAUUCAGUGAAUCAUCGAAUCUUUGAACGCACCUUGCGCUCCUUGGUAUUCCGAGGAGCAUGCCUGUUUGAGUGUCAUGAAAUCUUCAACUUACAGGCCUUUGCGGGUUUUGUAAGCUUGGACUUGGAGGCUUGUCGGCCGUGUUUCGGUCGGCUCCUCUUAAAUGCAUUAGCUUGAUUCCUUGCGGAUCGGCUCUCGGUGUGAUAAUGUCUACUCCGCGACCGUGAAGCGUUUUGGCGAGCUUCUAACCGUCCUCGUUUGGACAACUUUAUGACCUCUGACCUCAAAUCAGGUAGGACUACCCGCUGAACUUAAGCAUAUCAAUAAGCGGAGGA